RNAcentral lists this ribosomal RNA (433 nucleotides) under uncultured bacterium. RNAcentral's name for it is "partial 16S ribosomal RNA". It matches the Rfam family "Bacterial small subunit ribosomal RNA", at positions 29 to 507 of the family's 1533-position model. The record is from RNAcentral.
AGCGGACGCUGGCGGCAGGCCUAACACAUGCAAGUCGAACGAACUCUUCGGAGUUAGUGGCGGACGGGUGAGUAACACGUGGGAACGUGCCUUUAGGUUCGGAAUAACUCAGGGAAACUUGUGCUAAUACCGAAUGUGCCCUUCGGGGGAAAGAUUUAUCGCCUUUAGAGCGGCCCGCGUCUGAUUAGCUAGUUGGUGAGGUAAAGGCUCACCAAGGCGACGAUCAGUAGCUGGUCUGAGAGGAUGAUCAGCCACAUUGGGACUGGGACACGGCCCAAACUCCUACGGGAAGCAGCAGUGGGGAAUCUUGCGCAAUGGGCGAAAGCCUGACGCAGCCAUGCCGCGUGAAUGAUGAAGGUCUUAGGAUUGUAAAAUUCUUUCACCGGGGACGAUAAUGACGGUACCCGGAGAAGAAGCCCCGGCUAACUUCGUG